UGGGGAAUCUUCCGCAAUGGGCGCAAGCCUGACGGAGCAAUGCCACGUGAGUGAAGAAGGUCCUCGGAUUGUAAAACUCUGUCCUAUUUGAAGAGAGGGUUGCAUGUAAACAAUGUGCAACUAGGACGGUAAAAUAGGAGGAAGCCCCGGCUAACUACGUGCCAGCAGCCGCGGUAAUACGUAGGGGGCAAGCGUUGUCCGGAAUCACUGGGCGUAAAGCGCACGUAGGCUGUUUGUCAAGUCAGAGGUGAAAUCCCACGGCCCAACCGUGGAACUGCCUUUGAAACUGGCAGACUUGAGUGUCGGAGAGGGUGGCGGAAUUCCAGGUGUAGGAGUGAAGUCCGUAGAUAUCUGGAGGAACACCGGUGGCGAAGGCGGCCACCUGGACGAUAACUGACGCUGAGGUGCGAAAGCGUGGGUAGCAAACA
RNAcentral lists this ribosomal RNA (428 nucleotides) under uncultured bacterium. Its description in RNAcentral is "bacterial SSU rRNA". It matches the Rfam family "Bacterial small subunit ribosomal RNA", at positions 355 to 774 of the family's 1533-position model. The record is from RNAcentral.